AAUUGAAAAGGAUUUUCUUUCUUUUUUCUCUCUGGUGGCUUGAAAGUUCUUUGAAAUGAUUCAUUCUCUGUCCUCUUCAGACAGCAGCAAUCAGCCCAUGCUCAUGUGCAACCUCAAGGAAGCCUUCCUGGCUCAGGGGAGGAAUGUGCUCUUUGUCGCUCUCUGGCCAUUGGCUGGCCCCUGAGGGCUCCAGGGCGCCCCUGAUAACUACAUUUAGACAGGCAGUCACAAGCCUGGGGACUGCAGGCACAGUGAGGAAGGUAGGGAAGGGUCUCUCCAAGACAGGCCCACUAGGAGCCCCCACUGGGAGUAGUGCAGCCCCUGUCAGGGGAUGGAGUGUCUGGAAUUCCAUGGCUGAGGUGCAACAGGUGACUAAAGGUUUGAGGAGGCAACGCUCCCACUCACAGUCAGAAGCAGAGGGGAUGAGAUGGCCAGAUGUGAUUGGAAUCAGACACAGUGAGGUUUGAAUCCUCACUCUGUCCUUUUUGUUGUGUGGCCUGUGUGACAGGUCCCACAGCCUCUCCAGCCUCUGUGGGAAGAAGGAUCAUCUGAUGCCUACGUAAUAGAGUUGCUGAAGGAGUGGAAGCAGCUUUGACAUUAUCAGUGGAACCCACCAGUGCAGCAGUGCAGACUGCUUCAUCCAGGGGCACCUGAGGCAGCAGAUCUGAGGAUUAGGGACAUCGGGAGCUGAAGCCUGGCUGGAGAGGUGGUGCGCACGAGAACCCCCACGUUCCCCGACAGGAGCCUGAAAAAGUUUCUUUUGCAGAUACCCUGUGAUUGCCAGCAAGUAAACCAGAUGCAAUUGUGGUUUCCGUGAAGCACAGCUGGAAAACUGCUGCCCCCACGGAGGAAGAGGAAGAUGGGAAGAUGGUGGUUACUGCACACCAGGCACCAGCCUCGGGGCUAUGAGCUGUACAAACAUUACCCAUUUAAUCCUCGUGACCAUGUUCUGAGAAGGCUGUCAAUGAUCUCACUUUAUACAUGGGGAAAUUCAUGCAGACAGAGCUGACUAAAUUGCCAUGGUCACCCAGCUAGUAGGAACUGGAGCUGUAACUUGAACCAGGGUCUUUUGUUUCUGUGGCUCCUGGUAGCACAUGCCGGGCUUGAAGUGAGAUCCGGAGUAUGUUGGAAACAACGUGUUCCCCAUCGUGAAAGUCCUUAUGAUACCUUAUGAUGCAGAGUUGGCAGCCAGCAGCAGGGGCUUCCAGAAGCAUGGCUGACCCUUGUUGGGAUCUCGCUCCUGUGAGCCUUGGAAUGUCUAGGGAGAAAGAGCAGCCAAAUUUAGAGCUACAGGAGCUUUGAGAUGCAGCUCAGGCAUCAUCUCUGGGAAGUCUUUCCUGGAACCACAGCCUGGGCCCUGUACCUGAUUCCCAGCCCCUCUGGCUCUUUUUGCAUUUGCUGCCUCUUUUCACAAUUCUGUCUCCUUAUGUCUUCCACUCUACAUGCAAGCCCCUUGAGGGCAGGACCAUGACUCAGUCAUCCUGUACCCUAGCACCCACCCUGGGUCUGCAUCUGGAAGGAGCUCACUAAGUGAUUAUUGAGCCAAACUGAACUGUAGCAGGAGUGAGCAAAGCUAAUUCACGGGUGCAGCAUGGGAGCACAGAGCUGCCAGAAUCCAGAGACAACUGUAACUGUCCCAGCAUAGGGGGCUUCAGGCCGUGGUGAGAGCCACUGAAAGCAAGAGAGCCAGGUGGUGGCUCAGUUCACACUGAGUCCUGCUGAAGAAAUAGGCACAUCGUGUGUGUUAAAAUCAGCACCCCAUGCACCUGUAGGAAGAGACUGAGGCACCCUGGAGGCCCCUGCCAAUAAUUAAAAGGCCCUCUGGGGCCUGUGGGAGCCCUAGCUGAUGAAAUCACAAAGGCCUCAGCCUCUAAAGUGUUUCCAGUAAAAUGCUACCAGGAUUUUCCUCCCUUAAAUCUGGAUGAAAGGGCUGUCUGUGCUACAAAAUGCACACCUGGCGUUGAUAUGCAGUCUCUUGCUGCCUGUUAACCAACCCACCAGCCAACAAGUUCUGCCCACUGGCAGGAGCAAGGACUUAUAAAAAAUAGUGCCUCCCUCCCAAGGGCUUAUGAGCUGGUUAAGUGCAGAGGACAAAUAGAAUGAAAGAAAAGGCAAUCUCGGCAUAGUAUUCAGUUAAUUCUUCUCUCUCUCUCGUUCCCUCUCUCUGUCCUUUCUCUCUUCCUCCCUCCUUUCUAUGACUUGUCCUCUCCACACAACUCCUUUUCCGUUUUCCCUCCCCUGCCUCCCUACCUUCUUUCUUGACUUCCCAUCUUGCUCCCUUUCUUCCUGCCUGCCCAUCUGCUUUCCUUUCUUAUCUCUUGUGCAAAUUCUGCAUAUAGUCGCUCUCCUCAUUUCAUGACAGGCUGUCUUCAUCAGUUUCUGAGUUCUUUUGUUAUUUUAUAAUAUAUUUUACAUGCUGUCCUCAUAAAAUCCCCUCCCCCAGAAAAGGCCCAUUCAAAAGUACUUACUAUACGUCCUUAGAUAGGCAAUGAUCUCUGAAAUAUAUAUAGGCUUGCUCUA
Gorilla gorilla gorilla (western lowland gorilla) is the source of this 2520-nucleotide long non-coding RNA. RefSeq lists it as uncharacterized. The transcript has 2 exons. The record is from RefSeq and is a predicted model, not a curated record. Lineage: Eukaryota; Metazoa; Chordata; Mammalia; Primates; Hominidae.